This is a long non-coding RNA of Zeugodacus cucurbitae (melon fly), 4350 nucleotides long. RefSeq lists it as uncharacterized. The transcript has 7 exons. NCBI's taxonomy places the organism in Eukaryota, Metazoa, Arthropoda, Insecta, Diptera, Tephritidae. The record is from RefSeq and is a predicted model, not a curated record.
CCGGGCCUCUUUUUCAUUCCCCCUGCCGCUUGUAUAUCACACAAUUUGUUUUGUUAUUCUGCAGCGCACACAAGCUUUUUUCUUGCUCUCAUUAAUGUUCUGUGUUGGCAUGUGAUUUAAUUUUUUUCAGCACAAGCUUCAUUUAUCUCUAAGCAAAUACGUUUAAUAACAAUAAUGCUGCUAAAAAUAGCCACCCAAAGACCUCUUCAGUGCGAUUCUAAUUUACGCGUCUCAGUAGCUGUUUCUGCAAAUUUUUUGUUAUCAAUUAAGGCUGUUAUUUUGAAAUCAACUUGAGAAAACUUUCCAUUGACCGAACGAAAAUCUUCAAUUGUGUUUGUUUGUAUGUGCUGUAUAUGCAUAACAUACAUAUAGCACUGUACGCUGAUCAGUGCAUGUUAUCACAAGUCAAAUUGUACAGUACUGUACAGUACUUAAUUCUUGUUAUAGCUAUACAUAUUUUUAAACUUUAAAAGAUGAUGAAAUUUAAGAUUCACAUAUUAAAUGAGGAUGCUUCAGAGCAUCGAAUUUGUCUUUGUUUUGUUGUUGUUGUAGUGGCAUAAAGUAUGCUGGCGACUUGACUGUUUUCGAACUUAUAAUAUGUUUCGUCGGUUCUGGUUACAUAGGAUCAACUUUUUUCAUAUCGAAUUAAUUCUAACCAAAACAUAAGUAAUGUUAAAUAGGGUAUAUCUGAUAGCAAUUUAAUUUUCUAUCACUGUACUGUUUCUUUUCUUGUCCGUUUUGUUAAAUUUUCACAUUCAGCAAUUCAAAUUGAAUUAUUUCAAGCGCAUACAAGUGAGUCCGCAAUUUUCCAUAAUUUUCCUGCUUCAAAUUCAAAUCGUUGUUAUAUUUUAAACAAGUAAGGAAGGGCUAAGUUCGGGUGUCAUCGAACAUUUUGUACUUUCGCAAUUUAUUUAUUUCAUUUUAUUAAUAUAACAUACAAUUAGACUCACAUAUUCGUCCAUUGAAAGUUUGAAAACUCUAAUGGACUCUAAUAAUGGGUAUAUGGGAGCUAAGGGUAGUUAUGACCCGAUUUCACUCAUUUUUGGCACGGAGACAUAUUAUUAGAAGAAACAAAUCUCCUCUGAAUUUCUUCAAGUUAUCUGAGAGACUUACUUAUAUUUUCGGUAAAAAAUUAAUUCGAAUUGCAUACUUAUGGUCCGAUUUCGCCGAUUUUUAGAAGGGCGAUGCCACACUAUGCAGAAUUUGUGCAAAGUUCUGUACCGAUAUCUUCAUUAGUGCUUACUUUAUAUAUUGUAAAGUAAACGAUUCAGAUCGUCUUCAAAAUUCUGGUAUAUGGGAAGCAGGCGUGGUUGUGAAUCGAUUUGGUGUAUAUGCAUAACAUAUAAUAGAGAUACUUAGUAGGGGCGGGCCAAGUACAUCCAAAUAUGCCUCUUCAUUGUGCGAUCCUUUGUACCAAAUUUUACUCUCAUAACUUUAUUUAUGGCUUUGUUGUGGCUUUAUGUGUUUUAGGUUUUCGCCAUUUUGUGGGCGUAGCAGUGGACCGGGUGUUACAAACAACCGUUAUGUGAACAAAACUGUUAUACUAUCCAAGCAACUUUGUUGCGAGAGUAUAAUUACAUUUUAUUUGGUGAAAAUCUUAUACACUCAUAUAAAAUCGUCAAUUGCCAAAGGGCAGAGAAAAUAACUAUUUAAAAUUGGCUUAAUCGGUGUUCAAGGAUCUUAAUAAAUAAAUUCAUAGAAUGUCUCGAAAAAAUCUUUUACCAAUUUCAUGAUAAGACAAUAUCAAAAACGUGGCUUUACUUUUUCCUAAAUAAGCAAAAACAACCCAGAUUUAGCAGUACACGAAAGGACUAAGGAUACCCCGACAUUGGGUCGACCAUGGUUCUUUUUUUUAAAGCGCUGUCGAAGGUCACCAAUUCAUAAAGAAUUCUAACAAAAACUAUGAAGAGAGUAUAUCAAAUGAAACUUCAUUUUCUAUAACGUAUUAUAUAUCAUUACAGUAGAAUCCCGAUUAUUCGAACAACGAUUAUACGAAUUCAUUCGUCUCGGCGGUAUUUGUCAGUUUAAAAAUGUUUUGACGACACAACGAGUCAUAUUCCUAUAAGGUUUGAAAUAACAGAAGCAAUGACUGCCUUUUUUGAAGGGUGCGAUGAAGGGAAUAUUAAGGAGUGACUGAACUGCGUUAAUGAUGACAAUGGGUUACUAAUAUACUACUAAACCGAAAAUUAUGUCGUACUUAUAGAACUUUUUUACCUACUACGAAAAUAGCACACGGAUGAUGGAAAGGGGCUUGUCGUACGCGAUCAUUGAUGUCAAGAGUGAAAGACACUUGGUUCCAUAAUAUUAAAAUAACUCUGCCUCAAGUGGUUUAUUUAAUGGAUCAAUUUUUAUCCAGCGCUACCUCAUACGACUGGUAUAAUUACUACCGAAAAGAGGUAGUAUAGUAGGUCAACAAGUAGCGGAAGGUAAAAUUGGAGUUCAUUGUGAAAUUGUUCAAUAGAUGGGAGUGAAUUCGGGAAACGUAAAUUCAACAAAGGAAGAUGAUUGGAAGGCCACUGUGAGGAGACGACUGAAUAUCCAGUCAUUGGACAAUUUAACGGUUCCUCAUUAAAUAUAAUUUUAUAAUUACCUAGAUCCAUUUGUAAAAUUAGUCAAGUAAUAAAACAAAACAAAAUUUCACAUUUUAAACUUUAAACGCGAGUACCUCGAAAACUAUAAGUUUGCUGCGGCUAUUAUUAAUAAAUAUUUUUAAUCUGAAAAAACUCAUCUAUCCGACCAUGCCCAUUUUAUCAUUCGUGGGAUAAUAUACUAAACCUGAAAAUCGUGUAUAAACGAUGAUAAAACUGUGACGAAAGUUUAGAGAAUAUACAUUUUGAAAAGGGGCCUAUCCGGUGUGGACGAAUGUUCAAAGAAUCUGUAAUAUAUUCAUAGAAUGCAUCGAAUAAAUCUGCUUCCAGUUCCAUGAUCGGAAUAUUUCAGAAACGGAUUAUAGCAGAAUUCAUAUGUUAUUGAGUAUUGUUAUCAGCAUGAUCUUAUUUUCAUGUUCAUAUUCGGAUUAUAUGUACAUAUGUUAAUAAUAUUUACCAUAUGCCCAUUUGUAUUAAGAAUAUUGUUUAUAUCGCCGUCAUAUACUUACCGAUUAAUGUGCGGUUUUCAAAUUGUCAAAUGACGCUCAAUUGACUUUAGUCUUCGAUGCGUUCAUAAAAUUAGACCCAAAGAGUCGAGAAAGAAAACAAUGAACACAUCAGUUUAAUAUUUAUACUCCCGAAGUAAAUUAAAUCAGCCGUUCUGGCCUUGAAUGAUUCAAAUUACAAAAACUUGUGAUUUCCAAUUGUGGAGACAUUUCACAACAAUGUGUUUGACAAACACAAUUUUUCUUUUAUUUUGAGGUUGCUUAGUUUGUUCGAAAACUAUAGCGACUACAACUGUAUGUUAUGACUAAAAUUUCAUUCAGGCAGGCUCUGUAAUUUACUUUCGAGUGAAUUUCAAGCAAAUUCAUUUUCCGUCUGACAAUUGGAGUUCUGUGUUUCACUUUCACUAGUUAAUUUUCACAUUUUUUUUUAAAUGAAUUCCUUGUGGAAAUGGAAGUUCUGAAAAUAAUUGUUAAUUGUCAAAUGGAAAACAUAAGAAUGCAGAUCAAGAUGAAAUAAUCGAUUCAUGGAAGCUCAGAGAGACAUCGCCGGAGGCGUCACAAAGACGACGGGAAUAAAGGCCAGCCAAAGGAGAUUAGUUUUGGAAGGACGGAAAAAGAUAUUUCUGGCUGGAAAAAGCUAAAAAUUAUAAGAAACCUGGGAGAAAGCUUAUAGAUUAAAGCUUUUCAAAAUAUUUUGUCUAAAUGACUGUUAAAAAUAAAUUAAUAAAAUGGAAAAUAUUAAUAGAAACACGCGAAGUUUGGGGACAAAAUAUUGGAAAACUGCGAGGAUCUUUCAAUAAAAUAAUGUUUUGAAAAAUAUGUGCGCGCAGCUCGAGAACGAGCACAGUAUAUGUUUGACCACGGUGGAGAUAAUUUAACCAAGAAAUAUAGGCAAGAAAAACGAAAAAUUGUAGACGGGGUUCUCCGUCAAAGUGGGGUUAUAUGUACAUAUAUAAAUAAGAGACCAAAUCAUAUCAGGAGAAAUGGAGGUGGUAAGUCAACAUUCACCAGGCAAAUCAAUAUACAUAUGUAUGUAUACGGAACCAUCGUUCAAGAAUCGCCCGAUCAACCAUCAACUAGUGAUAUUUGUAGAAGACCACAAAGAAGAAGAUUGUUAUUUUGAACUAAUGAAGUACGAACAAAAAAUGAUGUAACAUUGUUUGGACAAAUCGCUAGAAAAUUAAAAUAAAGUUAUAAAAUUACUCGAAGAAAAUAAUAUGUUACUUUCCGCUUUAAUAAAUAAAAAAAAUUGAAAA